This 379-nucleotide ribosomal RNA is filed under the name Anurogryllus muticus. RNAcentral's name for it is "partial 12S ribosomal RNA". The record is from RNAcentral. Lineage: Eukaryota; Metazoa; Arthropoda; Insecta; Orthoptera; Gryllidae.
AUGGGUGGCCUGAGUAGUAAGAGUUAUAGUCUUGAAACUCAAAGAAUUUGGCGGUGUUUUAGUCCUUUCAGAGGAAUCUGCCCUAUAAUUGAUAUUACACGAUUUUUUGUACUUAGCUUGGUUGAUCAGUUUAUAUACCGCCGUCGUAAGAUUAUCUUGUGGAGAGUGAAAAAUUUCUUUAUUUAUUAAGUUAACUAUGUCAGGUCAAGGUGUAGUUUAUGGUUAAGUAGAGGUGGAUUACAAUAAAUUUAUUUAUUACGGAUGAUUUAAUUUAAAAUUAAUUUAAAGGUGGAUUUGAUUGUAAAUUAGUUGAUAUUAAUUUUUUGAUUUUGGCUCUAAAACGUGCACACAUCGCCCGUCGCUCUCGUUUUAAGAUGAG